UACGGGGGGGGCAAGCGUUGUUCGGAAUUACUGGGCGUAAAGGGCUCGUAGGUGGCCAACUAAGUCAGACGUGAAAUCCCCAGGCUUAACCUGGGAACUGCGUCUGAUACUGGAUGGCUUGAAUUCGGGAGAGGGAUGCGGAAUUCCAGGUGUAGCGGUGAAAUGCGUAGAUAUCUGGAGGAACACCGGUGGCGAAGGCGGCAUCCUGGACCGACACUGACGCUGAGGAGCGAAAGCCAGGGGAGCAAACGGG
This 253-nucleotide ribosomal RNA is filed under the name uncultured bacterium. RNAcentral describes it as "partial 16S ribosomal RNA". It matches the Rfam family "Bacterial small subunit ribosomal RNA", at positions 524 to 776 of the family's 1533-position model. The record is from RNAcentral.